This 468-nucleotide ribosomal RNA is filed under the name uncultured bacterium. Its description in RNAcentral is "partial 16S ribosomal RNA". It matches the Rfam family "Bacterial small subunit ribosomal RNA", at positions 28 to 507 of the family's 1533-position model. The record is from RNAcentral.
GACGAACGCUGGCGGCGUGCUUAACACAUGCAAGUCGAACGGAAAGGCCCUGCUUUUGUGGGGUGCUCGAGUGGCGAACGGGUGAGUAACACGUGAGUAACCUGCCCUUGACUUUGGGAUAACUUCAGGAAACUGGGGCUAAUACCGGAUAGGAGCUCCCGCUGCAUGGUGGGGGUUGGAAAGUUUCGGCGGUUGGGGAUGGACGCGCGGCUUAUCAGCUUGUUGGUUGGGUAGUGGCUUACCAAGGCUUUGACGGGUAGCCGGCCUGUGAGGGUGACCGGCCACAUUGGGCCUGCGAUACGGCCCAGACUGCUACGGGAGGCAGAAGUGGGGAAUAUUGCACAAUGGGCGGAAGCCUGAUGCAGCAACGCCGCGUGCGGGAUGACGGCCUUCGGGUUGUAAACAGCUUUCGCCUGUGACGAAGCGUUAGUGACGGUAAUGGGUAAAGAAGCACCGGCUAACUACGUG